RNAcentral lists this ribosomal RNA (110 nucleotides) under Caerostris darwini. Lineage: Eukaryota; Metazoa; Arthropoda; Arachnida; Araneae; Araneidae. The record is from RNAcentral.
AACGGCCGUACCAUGCUGAAUAUACCGGUUCUCGUUAGAUCACCGAAGUUAAGCAUCAUUGGGCGCGGUCAGUACUUGGGUGGGUGACCACCUGGGAACUGCGUGCCGUU